UUGAGAGAAGGGAUGACACAGUAGGAUAAGCUAAGCACACUGUUGGUUAUGUGUGCCCAAGCAUUGAGGCAGUCAAAGUAGGCAAAUCCGCUUUGAUAAUGCUGGGAUGUGAUGGGGAGCGAAAUUUAGUAGCGAAGUAGCUGAUUUCACACUGUCAAGAAAAGUCUCUAUCGAGGUUAAAGGUACCCGUACCGCAAACCGACACAGGUGGGUGAGGAGAGUAUCCUAAGGCCAGCGAGAGAACUGUUGUUAAGGAACUCGGCAAAAUGACCCCGUAACUUAGGGAUAAGGGGUGCCACCAUCAGGUGGCCGCAGAGAAUAGGCCCAAGCGACUGUUUACCAAAAACAUAGGUUUCUGCUAAGUCGCAAGACGAUGUAUAGGAGCUGACGCCUGCCCGGUGCUGGAAGGUUAAGGGGAUCUGUUAGAGCAAUCGAAGCAGUGAACUUAAGCCCCAGUAAACGGCGGCCGUAACUAUAACGGUCCUAAGGUAGCGAAAUUCCUUGUCGGGUAAGUUCCGACCCGCACGAAAGGCGUAACGAUUUGGGCACUGUCUCA
Molecule: ribosomal RNA, 556 nt
Filed under: Clostridioides difficile
Lineage: Bacteria; Bacillati; Bacillota; Clostridia; Peptostreptococcales; Peptostreptococcaceae
Description: bacterial LSU rRNA
Rfam family: Bacterial large subunit ribosomal RNA
Source: RNAcentral